AUUGAACGCUGGCGGCAGGCCUAACACAUGCAAGUCGAGCGGAUGAAGGGAGCUUGCUCCUGGAUUCAGCGGCGGACGGGUGAGUAAUGCCUAGGAAUCUGCCUGGUAGUGGGGGAUAACGUCCGGAAACGGGCGCUAAUACCGCAUACGUCCUGAGGGAGAAAGUGGGGGAUCUUCGGACCUCACGCUAUCAGAUGAGCCUAGGUCGGAUUAGCUAGUUGGUGGGGUAAAGGCCUACCAAGGCGACGAUCCGUAACUGGUCUGAGAGGAUGAUCAGUCACACUGGAACUGAGACAGGGUCCAGACUCCUACGGGAGGCAGCAGUGGGGAAUAUUGGACAAUGGGCGAAAGCCUGAUCCAGCCAGGCCGCGUGUGUGAAGAAGGUCUUCGGAUUGUAAAGCACUUUAAGUGGGGAGGAAGGGCAGUAAGUUAAUACCUUGCUGUUUUGACGGUACCAACAGAAUAAGCACCGGCUAACUUCGUG
RNAcentral lists this ribosomal RNA (484 nucleotides) under uncultured bacterium. Its description in RNAcentral is "partial 16S ribosomal RNA". It matches the Rfam family "Bacterial small subunit ribosomal RNA", at positions 30 to 507 of the family's 1533-position model. The record is from RNAcentral.